UACGUAGGGUGCAAGCGUUGUCCGGAAUUAUUGGGCGUAAAGAGCUUGUAGGCGGUUUGUCGCGUCUGCUGUGAAAGUUCGGGGCUCAACCCCGAACUUGCAGUGGGUACGGGCAGACUAGAGUGUGGUAGGGGAGACUGGAAUUCCUGGUGUAGCGGUGAAAUGCGCAGAUAUCAGGAGGAACACCGAUGGCGAAGGCAGGUCUCUGGGCCACUACUGACGCUGAGAAGCGAAAGCAUGGGGAGCGAACAGG
RNAcentral lists this ribosomal RNA (253 nucleotides) under uncultured bacterium. Its description in RNAcentral is "partial 16S ribosomal RNA". It matches the Rfam family "Bacterial small subunit ribosomal RNA", at positions 524 to 776 of the family's 1533-position model. The record is from RNAcentral.